AGAUGAAUGUCUUAACCUCGGGAAAGCUAAUUUUUGCUGAAGCUUUAGUUUUUUUCCCCAAGAUUAAGAAGGCUGUUGAUGAACACACAGACAGCAAGGCCCUUUAUGUAACUUAACGGACUUGGAGAUGGAAAAACAACGGUCCAGGAAAAGGAUCACCAACCUUGUCAAUAGAUGCUGAAAACAGAAUCUUAAUUUCUUGAAAAUCUUUUCCAUGAAUCUUUUUUUCAGCAAAAUGAUGAUAGUGUUAUAUUAGUAAAGAUGUUUUUAAAAAGUCA
Chinchilla lanigera (long-tailed chinchilla) is the source of this 278-nucleotide long non-coding RNA. RefSeq lists it as uncharacterized. The record is from RefSeq and is a predicted model, not a curated record. NCBI's taxonomy places the organism in Eukaryota, Metazoa, Chordata, Mammalia, Rodentia, Chinchillidae. The transcript has 2 exons.